RNAcentral lists this non-coding RNA (90 nucleotides) under uncultured Nitzschia. Lineage: Eukaryota; Bacillariophyta; Bacillariophyceae; Bacillariales; Bacillariaceae. The record is from RNAcentral.
AGAAAGAUCGAGGCAUCUGCGAUUCCUACUAUCGUAGUAUCAUCAAGUAAUAGAUACCGGACAGGAUUCUUCCCCAGUUGAAGGAACGGU